RNAcentral lists this ribosomal RNA (373 nucleotides) under Caledomelanella frustulum. RNAcentral's name for it is "partial small subunit ribosomal RNA". The record is from RNAcentral. Lineage: Eukaryota; Metazoa; Mollusca; Gastropoda; Zemelanopsidae.
UUUCAAGCAUAAAUUGAUUGUUUCUACCAGAGCACUAUGAGUCUUACACUUAAAACUCAAAGGACUUGGCGGUGCUUUAGACUUCUCAGGGGAACCUGUUUCGUAAUCGACAGUCCACGCUAUACCUUUCCUUCUUUUGUUCUCAGUUUGUAUACCGUCGUCGCCAGGUAACUUUUAAAAAUACCAGAAGUUAACAAUAAAGCCUAAUAUAAUUAGCUUUCACGUCAGAUCAAGGUGCAGCCUAUGAGAAGGCGAGAAUGGGUUACAAUUAAAAAUUAUAAUUACGGAGAAAGAAUGAAAUCUCUGCCCGAAGGAGGACUUGAAAGUAAAGAUUUAACUAUAUAAAUUUCUUGAAUUCAGCUCUGAAGCGUGC